CACACACGUUUCUUCCUACCUCAGCAAGAAAGUUUGAGGUCCCCACAGUUUCUGCGCACAUCAGGGCGACAAACGUGGACACUGUCUGGUUCACCUUUCAACUCCAAGGCCUACUCUGGGACUUCCAGGGUAGGUGUCAAAAUCGUAUUUUAAGACAAAUGCUUAAUGGCUCCAUUUCAGACAUUCCACAAUUCUCCCUCACACCCUAGGCAAGCUUAGUACAGAAAAGUCUCCGCGGAGAAGUGGAAAGGUGACAGGUUUAGGUUAUCUGUGAAUGUUUAACUGAAGGACUGUGGAUUCAUAACUCCUUUGUAUUUUUUUUUUUAAGACGGGGUUUCACCAUGUUGGUCAGGCUGGUCUUGAACUCACAACCUCCGGUGAUCCGCCCACCUUGGUCUCCAAAGUGCUUGGAUUACCAUGCCCGGCCGAUUCAUGACUCCAUUGGCUUCACACAGAGUUUUGAAGACACCUUGCUGUCCUUUGUCUGCCUUUCUGGCUAAACAGAAGUCACCUGCGAGCGGAAUACAUCAGACCAGGAAAUUGAAUCCAGAGCCUCAGGCCAGCAAGGACAUGAGGAUGACUGAUGAGUAUGCACCACGAACGUCAAGAGCAUGAGGAAAACACUGCAGACCCAUUGAAGCUUGCAGGGGACUACCUGCUCCCCGCGCCAAUCCUAAAUGUCAUCAGAGCUGUCUAGUGGGAUGGGGCAGGGCUCCAGGGCCCUCACACCUAGAUAUUCUGACGGCCCACCAGUGCCCUCUAGGAAGGCAAUGUUGGAUCUAACUCUGAAGUCUGGAGAUCUCUAGACAAAGGAGAUGGUUAUCUUUUGAAAUGUGACAUACCAGAACACAGGGUUGAAGAGCCCAUGGCACUGUCUUAAUUUCCUAUCAUUCCUCAAAUGUUUUCAGUUGAGCAAAACGCAUUUUAUAAAGCCACUUCUCCUCCAAAAAUGUUAAACCCAGAUUUCAAAAUAAGAGAAAUAAUCUCCUUAUGAACCUGAUUCAUACUUUUAUGGGAAGCUUGGCAAACAGAAAAUUGGUGGUUCCUCUGUCUCAGAUUGCGUAGCCAAAAAAGG
This 1075-nucleotide long non-coding RNA is filed under the name Callithrix jacchus (white-tufted-ear marmoset). Its description in RNAcentral is "lncRNA (ENSCJAG00000065262.2)". The record is from RNAcentral. Lineage: Eukaryota; Metazoa; Chordata; Mammalia; Primates; Cebidae.